Electrophorus electricus (electric eel) is the source of this 589-nucleotide non-coding RNA. Lineage: Eukaryota; Metazoa; Chordata; Actinopteri; Gymnotiformes; Gymnotidae. The record is from RefSeq and is a predicted model, not a curated record.
UAGCUAAGAUACUAUGCAGGAGUCUCAAGCUCCCAGGCCUCUGGUAGAGGACCUGAGCUUGAAGAAAAGAAAAGUAACAUACUAGUAAAAUAAUAAGGAAAUUACAAUGAACUCUCUGAAUAGGUUCAACAUAUUUCCUGCCAAGACACUGCUCCUUGUGUUACCUUCAGCAUGUUUCCCUGAUCCCAGCUCCAAGAGGAGCCUUCAAAUCCAUAGGAGAGAGCAAAAUAGCCUAUGCUGCCACUCCUACAGGACUCUGGUUUGUUGGGUCCAAACAGCAAGAUGGAAGCUAUUUUUCUGGCUAAGAACCUUUUUUUUUGUAUUGGAAAACCAUGGAACUAUUCAAGAUUUUGGUACCACCACCAGAACCAUGCCAAUGGAAAAGCGCUAUCAGUGGUUGUUGGAAAUGUAAUCUAAUGAGUGUUCAAGCCUGGGACAACACAUUUGUUCUUCUUUUCAGAAAGUACUGUUUCAUAGUUAAAAUUAUUCCUUGAAUUUGACUAAAAGUUCUUGGAAAAGCCAGUAGAACUCUACAUCUAUUUGCAGAAUAUUUAAAGGGAAACUGACACUGCUCCCAUAUUAACUGACU